UUGCUCUCAAGAAGUUAGCGGCGGACGGGUGAGUAACACGUGGGUAACCUGCCCAUAAGACUGGGAUAACUCCGGGAAACCGGGGCUAAUACCGGAUAACAUUUUGAACUGCAUGGUUCGAAAUUGAAAGGCGGCUUCGGCUGUCACUUAUGGAUGGACCCGCGUCGCAUUAGCUAGUUGGUGAGGUAACGGCUCACCAAGGCAACGAUGCGUAGCCGACCUGAGAGGGUGAUCGGCCACACUGGGACUGAGACACGGCCCAGACUCCUACGGGAGGCAGCAGUAGGGAAUCUUCCGCAAUGGACGAAAGUCUGACGGAGCAACGCCGCGUGAGUGAUGAAGGCUUUCGGGUCGUAAAACUCUGUUGUUAGGGAAGAACAAGUGCUAGUUGAAUAAGCUGGCACCUUGACGGUACCUAACCAGAAAGCCACGGCUAACUACGUGCCAGCAGCCGCGGUAAUACGUAGGUGGCAAGCGUUAUCCGGAAUUAUUGGGCGUAAAGCGCGCGCAGGUGGUUUCUUAAGUCUGAUGUGAAAGCCCACGGCUCAACCGUGGAGGGUCAUUGGAAACUGGGAGACUUGAGUGCAGA
This 589-nucleotide ribosomal RNA is filed under the name Bacillus toyonensis. Its description in RNAcentral is "bacterial SSU rRNA". It matches the Rfam family "Bacterial small subunit ribosomal RNA", at positions 76 to 652 of the family's 1533-position model. The record is from RNAcentral. Lineage: Bacteria; Bacillati; Bacillota; Bacilli; Caryophanales; Bacillaceae.